UGUAUCAAUGAUGAGAGUGUAUCAUGAACCAAAGAUUAUAAUUAAUUCAAUUCUGUUCACCUGAGCUCCAAA
Molecule: small nucleolar RNA, 72 nt
Filed under: Pteropus vampyrus (large flying fox)
Lineage: Eukaryota; Metazoa; Chordata; Mammalia; Chiroptera; Pteropodidae
Description: Small nucleolar RNA SNORD112 (ENSPVAG00000028386.1)
Source: RNAcentral